AUUUUGAAAUUCCACGAGUUUGAUUCAACUUGCAGAUUGAGGUGUGAUUUUAUUUUGUUGUUAAGUAUUUUUGGAUUAAAACUAAGAGCGUUGAUUUAAGUUUGUAGUUUUGAAAUUUAGUUUCAAGGGUGUUCAAAUUCAGGACAAGAAAAAUUGUAAUGAUCCCCAAGAACAUAGGAAGUAAAAUAUUUUGAUGAUUAGCUUUUGAAAUUUCAUUUUUCCCAAAUCGAUAUCGACAUGGGUAUAAUAUAUAAGCCUUCCUCAUAUAGAUAUAUCUUCAUUUAAUGCACUUGGAUGCUUUAAUUUUUUAUGAUCAAUAGUUUUGGCUGAACAAUUUAUAUGUGCAGAGUAAUGAAAUUUAUCAUUGGUAUCAGUGACAUUCAAACACAUCUAUCUAAUGAAUGACUGAAAGGAUGGAUAUAAUUUGAAUUUUCUUUAUCACUGUGAUAAGCUAGGCUUAAGCGUUCAACUGGGUUCCUUUGCGGCUGGACUAAUUAUAUCAAGUACUGAUCUCAUAUGGUCAAGAAAUAUAUAAGUUGUCAUUAUACUCGAGAGAAAUUAAGUACAUGGACAACGUCAUUCGUCCUCUUUGUUUUUUUAUUUAUUUAUUUUUAAUUUAUUUCCCCCCUCAAUUUUUCUGCCAAGCUAUUUCAUUUGGUCUUUUAUUUUCCUACAGGUUUUCAUUUGAAAGGAAAGUAUUGCAUUCUUAUGAAUUCUACGUCGCUGCUCAGGAACUAGUUGAAACCUUAAACCUCAACAUAAUGAAGAUGAAGAUGAGCCGGAAACAGUGAAGUAGGAAAAUCUAGAUUCAAUAACAUGGUCUAUCUAAGUAUUUUGAAUAAUGAGCAGUUUAAUGCUGUUAAUCUUUUGAUCGUGGUAAUAUGUUGUUAAUUUACUUUCUCAAACAAUAGACAUGUAAAUAUUGAUAUAUAAAACUUAUUUUAUGUUAAA
Molecule: non-coding RNA, 951 nt
Organism: Malus domestica (apple)
Lineage: Eukaryota; Viridiplantae; Streptophyta; Magnoliopsida; Rosales; Rosaceae
Source: RefSeq, a predicted model, not a curated record